AUGGGAAGUUGUGGACCGGUCGCAGUCCACACUUCCCACUCCAGUCCGCGCUGCCUCCUCGAAACCCGACACUCCCCAAACCCUAGCUCUCCCUCUCCCUUUCCUCGAGCUCGCCGGCCGGCCGCCAGGCAGCCAUGGGAUGGUGGAACAUCGGUCGCAAGGGGGCGCACGACCACGAGGCUGGCUCGUCCUCGGGCCGCCGCCGCCGCGGCGGCGUCAAAGAGGAGCCUGCAUCACCACCACGACAUGUACCACGGAGGGCCCCCGCGCCGCCUGCAUUCACCAUCGCCCAUACGGCCGCCGGCGAGCACGACCGUCACUACAUCCAUGCGGAUGUUUGCCGACGUUAUUGGGAGACGAGGACGCUGCUCCCCUAGAGCGAUAUCCACCUCCCCAAUAAAUGGCAUCUGUCCGUGGAUCGGGUGCCGAUCCCGCCGGUCCCGAUGA
RNAcentral lists this ribosomal RNA (447 nucleotides) under Triticum aestivum (bread wheat). RNAcentral's name for it is "partial small subunit ribosomal RNA". Lineage: Eukaryota; Viridiplantae; Streptophyta; Magnoliopsida; Poales; Poaceae. The record is from RNAcentral.